UACAAUGAAGCACAUUUCAAAAAAGUUUCCCAAGGGUCCCCGGGGUUUAGUACGUUACUGACUAAAGCUAAAUUUUCUAAACAUAUUGAAAACAUUUGAUAAUUUUGUUUUUGUUUGUUUAAACAACAAGAAACUUAUGAUAAAGCUAAACAUAAUCUAGAAGCUACACUUGCCGCAUUGCAUCACAUGUCGCCAACAAUUCCGAUAGAAAUGUUUCGAUUUUUCUGGCGCUAUGAUGGAUAUGCUUCAGGAAUCAUUUCUCUUAACUUUUUCAGGGACAUCAGGAUUUCUUAUGAGGAGGGCGACCUUGUGUUUGGGGAGACUAGUGAAGACCUUGGGGAGACUAGUGAAGACCUUGGGGAGACCAGAGAAGAAGACUAAUGGUUAUCAGUUUCAAUAGAAGCUAAAUGUUUGAAUCAUACACAAUUGUUAUGAUUCAGUUCAUCUGUUAUGACUUUCUCCUUCCGUUUAUAUUCCUAUUCCACUGUAAAAGUGUUGGUAUUAAUCGGUAUGUGUUUCCUUAAUCUGUUUGCCUGCCCAGUAUAUCAGACUACAGGCUUAGAGACAGCUAGAUUUAUGUAUCCGUAUGGAUUUUAUAUUGCAAGACUUAUAUUU
Long non-coding RNA from Rosa rugosa (rugosa rose), 615 nucleotides. RefSeq lists it as uncharacterized. The record is from RefSeq and is a predicted model, not a curated record. The transcript has 2 exons. Lineage: Eukaryota; Viridiplantae; Streptophyta; Magnoliopsida; Rosales; Rosaceae.